AACGAACGCUGGCGGCAGGCCUAAUACAUGCAAGUCGAACGGAUGUAGCAAUACAUUAGUGGCGCACGGGUGCCUAACGCGUGGGAACAUACCCUUGAGUAAGGAAUAAUGUCUGGAAACGGACACUAAUACCUUAUAAUGACUUCGGUCCCAAGAUGUUAUCGCUCAAGGAUUGGCCCGCGUCUGAUUAGCUAGUUGGUGAGGUAACGGCUCACCAAGGCGACGAUCAGUAGCUGGUCUGAGAGGAUGAUCAGCCACACUGGGACUGAGACACGGCGCAGACUCCUACGGGAGGCAGCAGUAAGGAAUAUUGGACAAUGGGGGAAACCCUGAUCCAGCCAUGCCGCGUGAGUGAAGAAGGCCUUAGGGUUGUAAAGCUCUUUCAAUAGUGAAGAUAAUGACGGUAGCUAUAGAAGAAGCCCCGGCUAAAUUCGUGCCAGCAGCCGCAGUAA
Molecule: ribosomal RNA, 452 nt
Filed under: uncultured bacterium
Lineage: Bacteria
Description: partial 16S ribosomal RNA
Rfam family: Bacterial small subunit ribosomal RNA
Source: RNAcentral